AUGCUAGACAAGAAAGCAGCAAAGGCAAUUAAAACAGUGCCUUUAUCCAACGACACUGUAUGCCGUCGUAUUGAUGAUAUGGCUGAAGAUAUCGUUGCACAGGUGGUGGACAACUUAAAAUGGACUACAAGUUUUGCUUUACAGUUAGACGAGUCAACUGACAUUAGUAGCAAAUCACAAUUUGAUUGAUUUACCUGGAUUUUCUUUCUUCAUUGUACUGCUUGCAAAGAACUGUUCUUGUUCUCUGUUGUUAAUUUUGUUGGAGACAAUGAACAGUUCUGUUAUGGUGGUUGGUACAGGCUUGAUUGUCUUCAGUGUUCCCUAGGCAGUCAACCUUUGUCUGAGGUUAAAACUGCCCUUGUGUUUAGGAUCUUGGAAAAAAUCUAUUAUCUUGUAGAAAUGUACUUGCCACGUAACUAAGCACACUUAGAAAACUCUGAAUGUAAGUGUUUGGGAUGCAUGAUAUAAUGGUACCAUAUAGGUUAUUCGCCAUUAGAUUUUCAAAACACUUAGUGGUAUUGAUCAAUAUUGAAUUUUUAUUUGCACAUGCUUGUUGUUACAUUUAAAUUACCUUCUAACAUCUCUCUUAAAUUUAAUCUUAAGGUAUAAUCAUAAUUUACUCUCAAGUCAUUCCAAACCUUUAUGACUUUUAUUCUUGUAACUUCAUUGGAAAAAUUGUCUCUAUUUUUCAUACAGUGGUACCUUAAUCUGCUUGAUUAACAGCAUUCUUCAAAAGUAUCUUUUGUGUUCCGCAGAAGAAAAAAAAGGCAUACAGGUUUGGAACGACACGAGGGUGAGUAAAUGAUGAAAUAAUUUUUAGGUAAACUGUCCCGUUAAAUAUAAACUUUAGUAAAACUCAAAAUGAAUAUCCAUUAUUCUGAACAUUUAUAAUAUUGUGAUGCAUGCAUUCACUUGCAGUUAUUUUAAUUUUUAAUGUUUCAGUUUUAUUUUGUUUGGAUGAAAUAUAAUUUUAAAAUCAGUCAUUUAUUGAUUAUUUGCCAUACCAUGAAAGUAAUUUUCAGCUUUUAGAUAUUGGCCAGGAUUUUAAAAAUAGAUUUCUGUUUGUAACUGUGUGUUAAUACAAAGAGUUCAUUAAUAUUACUACCAUAACCAAUCAACUUGAUACAACAAUAUAAUUUAGGAAAAAAAUAAACAUACACUAUUAUGCAGCACCAACCAUUAUCAAUAUGAAAUCAAAUCUGCAGAUAACUGUACAGAUUAUUUCUGUAUCCGUAAUUACAAAGUUGAUCCAUAAGAAACACAAGAGAUGGAAGUGUUGCUCAUGUUUGAGUCUGAUGCACAUAUAGGUAGUUUAUGUGGGGUGUUUAGCCCUCCGCUCUAAUAUAAUGGGGGUAAGCAGUCUCUUCACUACCCCAGUAUCCUCUGAGAUAACACUACCAAUUAGUCUGCGGUUUCCUGACAUUCAGCCUUCAAAGCUGAGAGGCAGGAGCUUUUAUUCCUAAACAUCAAAGACUAUUAUUCUUUCUUUUCUCUCUUCAAAUCAACAUCUAGCCCCAGGAUCUAGCACCAUCCCCCUCUGCACCCCUCCCUUAUGCUGUGAGUAGCAGGGAAUAGACUCCGAUCAGAACACAAGCAGCAAUGGAAGCCUAAGAAAACAAGAGGAGCUGUUGCUCAUACAGCAGAGAUGUCAAAUUGUUUAUUGUCUUUCCUUUAACUCUCCCUCCCUCUUCAUUCUCACAGCCCUAGUCAAUCUCACUGUUUGUAUUGAAGCUGAUUAUUGUGAAAUAGCUGCAGAAGUGUGCAUAUCUAAAAAAACAAAAAAGUGCCACAGCUCUCUCUUGCUCUCUCUCUCUGGGUGGAGGAAACACAGAAGUAUGAUAGCUGUGCGCUAUGAGAUUUAAAAAUGUAUGACCUACGUGCACAUUUGUGAAAAAAUAUUUUAAAUAUAAGAGCUCCUGUUCCCAAUUGAGAUGGAGAGCUGUGCCUACUGUAUGAAAGAGAGAGAAAUGUGUAAUAAAAUGGGCAAGGAGAACUCUUUACUCAGAGCACAGAAAGCUAUAUUUCUUUCAUAUUAUUGAUUACAUGCACGUAACACAUAAGAGCCUUUAAAUUCCUUCCUCUAAAACGAUCCUGCAUUCUGUACUUAUCACUUCCUUCUACUUUUUGAAUAUUUCUGCUACAUAUUUCUGCUAUAUUGCACACAUUUAGACAGCAAAACAACUUUGCAUAAUAUACUGGCCUAAAUAACAAUAAUAGUUAUGAGGAUAAUAAUUUAUUGUUAGUAUUAUUAUUAUUAUUAUUAUUAUAACAAUAAUACAAUUAUUAUUAAUAUUAUUAAAAUAAUUAUUGAUUGUUUUUAAAGGGCCCCUUUUUACAAGAUGUAAUAAAAGGCUCAGUUGUACUUCCGGUGUGGGAACGCUGUGUGCGUCUGGCUGCCACCCUGCGCUGGGUUGUUGUUUGUUUGUUUUGUGAUUGUCUGUGUUCUUUUUGGUCUUGGUGACUCGGGCAGUCUUUCCAUACUUUUUUUUACUCGAUCUCAGCUCAGCUUUGGAUACUGUCUGUCAUAAGUUAUUAUUCAUGUGCCUCUCAGAGAUUGGCAUCUCAGGAGCUGCGUUAUCCUGGUUUUCUUCUUAUUUGACAGACAGACUAUACUACAUCACCAUGCAUAACUAUAAAUCUCCCACUGCCUUACUCAAACAGGGUGUUCCUCAGGGCUCAGUUUUCGGGCCAUUAUUAUUUAUUAUUUAAAUAAUGCCCCUCUGACAAAUUAUUUGCCGCCAUGGUUUUCGGUACCACUAUGCCAACGAUAUUCAUAUUGCUUACGGAUCUGACUCUAUUCACUAGACUGCAUCUCUAUCUUCAUGCGCCAACGAGUAAAAGACCUGGCUAAACUGUAAUUUUCUCAGUUUGAAUUUGACUAAAAUAGAAUUCUUACUUGUUGGUCCUCCAACUCUAACAAAAAAUAUAACCAAUGCCCCCAGACUUGACCUUGAAUCUACAUCAAUUAUUCCAUCUGCCACCAUCAAAAACUUAGUCAACUCACUAAAGCUGCUUUUUUUUUUUCAAUUUUGCCGUAUUGCCAAACUCUGACCCUUUGUCAGCCCAAAAUAUGCUGAAUCACUAGUGCAUGCAUUUAUCACAUCUAGCCUCGAUUACUGUAUGCUCUUUUUUCACAACGAGAGGGCACUCUAUUUCCCGUUUGCAAUAUUUUCAAAAUUCUGCUGUGAGAAUGUUAACUUACACUAAAUAGAAUAGGAGUAAUAUGAGCAGACCAUUUAAACCUAAAGAUACCGAACCUAAAGACAUAGUGAUAUGUAUCUGAACCCUGGUGCACACCAAACAAGUGGACAGAGACCGCUAAAAAGAUGGGUCUCGGUCUGCUUCCAAACGAACAUUUAUAAAUGAACAUUUAUAUAGCGCUUUUCUGCUUUUCUAAGCACUCAAAGCGCUCUACAUUGUGAGGGGGUAUCUCCUCGUCUACCACCAGUGUGCAGCAUCCACCUGGAUGAUGCGACGGCAGCCAUAGUGUGCCAGAACGCCCACCACACACCAGCUUAUUGGUGGAGAGGAGACAGAGUGAUGAAGCCAGUCAAUAGAUAUGGGGAUU
Cyprinus carpio carpio is the source of this 3568-nucleotide long non-coding RNA. NCBI's taxonomy places the organism in Eukaryota, Metazoa, Chordata, Actinopteri, Cypriniformes, Cyprinidae. The record is from Ensembl.